AUGACCUCCCAGGACGGCGCCGCCCCGCCGCCGGCCCCGCCCAAGCGCCCUGCCCCGGGGGAGCAGCCGUCGUCCGAGGUUCUCGUCACCUACAAGCGCCGCCGCACGGCCACCCGCGGCGCCAGCUCCGACCCCGGAGCGCCUUGUGCCACCACCGUCCCCUGUAGCGGUACUUCUGGCCAAGAUGGCCACCAGAUCCUGCCCAGACAUUGGAUUACUUGGAGGAACACGUUGGAGGGCUUCCUGCAAUCCCCAGGUGUAAAUAAGGGUGGAGGGAUUCAGUGCUGCAUACAAGAUGCGCUCAGAUACAAUUGCUGUCGAUCAGUGCAAAAAGGCAACCUAAAUAAAGGCCAAGGAGCGUCAGAAGAGCAUCCUGCUGGAGUAGCAGGUGCUAAAGAGAUUAGCUCCUCUAUUGCAUUAAAAGAUGCGAUUGCAGCAUCAUUGGAUGCCAACACAGCAAUGUGCAAUAAUGCUCUCCUUGACAUUUUUGUCUCAGAGAAGUUUGCCAUGUUGUGUGAUUUGCUAGUUGGAACUUUCCAUGUGAGUAAGGUUCAUGAGGUCAUUGAUUUGGGGAAAAUUGACGCCAACAUGAGAAAUGGAAACUAUGCACGGAACCCGGCUCUGUUCAACGACCACAUCCAGCAGAUAUGGGAGAAGUUUGAACAAGUUGGCCGAGAGAUGACAAGUCUAGCCAGCAAUCUUCCAAUCAUUUCACGAGCUUCCUAUCAGAAGCAAGCUUCUGGAGUUUCUGAAGUAGAGGUUGCUGCUGAGCACAGGAUAGAGGAAACAAGUCUGGGUGGUUUUGUCGAGAAAAUCCCGAAGGAUUCAAAUACGACCACACAGUUCUCCCCAUGUGAUUCCGGUCAUUCUACAAUACCAAAGCGAUCUGGGACAUGUGGACUUGGUCGAACUUGCACUUGCAAACAAUGUGGAACCAGUGCAGAAGAAGAAAAAAGCCUUAUAUGUGAUGGAUGCGACACGACAUACCACUUUGAAUGUGUGAAGCGACUCCAUCCUGCUAUGAAACAAAUCCCGGACAACUGGCACUGUCCUGCCUGCAGCAGCAAUAAGGGAAAGGGAAAGGGAAAGGGAAAGUCUGCAGGCGCCAAGAAGAAUGUUCAUGACAGCCUGCAUGGUGAUUGUCCUCUGUGUGACAAGCUUGAGGUCGUCAAGAAGAUAGAACCACCUGAAGUUGCCAGCGGAAUCGAGGCAGCCGACGAAAGAGAAGGGAGCUCGGUGCCGAGUGUGGAGGAAGAGAAUGAGCCGGACCUGUACACGACCGCCCUGUCGAAGCUGUGCAAGCACUGUGGCACGUGCGAGGACGACGACAAGCAGUUCCUGGUGUGUGGCCACCCUUACUGCCCCUACAAGUUCUACCACAUCCGGUGCCUGAGGACGAGCCAGAUCGCGCUGGAGAAGCAGAAGAAUCUGGAGUGCUGGUACUGCCCCUCCUGCCUCUGCAGGGGCUGCUUCAAGAACAAGGACGACGAGGAGAUCACCCUGUGCGACGGCUGCGACGAGGCCUACCACGUGUACUGCAUGACGCCCAAGCGCACCUGCGUCCCCAAGGGCCACUGGUACUGCCCGCUGUGCAGCGUGCGGCGGGCAAGGGAGGGGAUGCAGAGGUACGAGAAGUCGAUCCUGAAGAAACAACAACAUAUAAGCGCCAAGCGUGCGAGCCAGUCGGACGACGCUUAG
Molecule: ribosomal RNA, 1698 nt
Filed under: Triticum aestivum (bread wheat)
Lineage: Eukaryota; Viridiplantae; Streptophyta; Magnoliopsida; Poales; Poaceae
Description: partial small subunit ribosomal RNA
Source: RNAcentral